UGGGGAAUUUUGGGCAAUGGGCGAAAGCCUGACCCAGCAACGCCGCGUGAAGGAUGAAGUAUUUCGGUAUGUAAACUUCGAAAGAAUAGGAAGAAUAAAUGACGGUACUAUUUAUAAGGUCCGGCUAACUACGUGCCAGCAGCCGCGGUAAUACGUAGGGACCAAGCGUUGUUCGGAUUUACUGGGCGUAAAGGGCGCGUAGGUGGCCCUGUAAGUCAGUGGUGAAAUAUCUCAGCUUAACUGAGAGGGUGCCAUUGAUACUGCAGGGCUUGAGUACAGAUGAGGUAGGCGGAAUUGACGGUGUAGCGGUGAAAUGCAUAGAUAUCGUCAAGAACACCGAUAGCGAAGGCAGCUUACCAAGCUGUAACUGACACUGAGGCACGAAAGUGUGGGGAUCAAACAGGAUUAGAUACCCACGUAGUCCCUGAGCGGGCUGGCAAGGCGCAU
Molecule: ribosomal RNA, 447 nt
Filed under: uncultured bacterium
Lineage: Bacteria
Description: bacterial SSU rRNA
Rfam family: Bacterial small subunit ribosomal RNA
Source: RNAcentral